This 1118-nucleotide long non-coding RNA is filed under the name Cricetulus griseus (Chinese hamster). RNAcentral describes it as "lncRNA (ENSCGRG00015038858.1)". Lineage: Eukaryota; Metazoa; Chordata; Mammalia; Rodentia; Cricetidae. The record is from RNAcentral.
UGUGACCUAGUGUGAUGAUUGAUACCAGUUGUCAACUUGAUAAGAUGCAGAAUCAGCUCAGAGAUAGCCCUGGACUUGCGUGUGAGGGGAUUUCUAGGUUUGAUCAUUGAGCUGGGACGACCCACCCUAAAUGUGAGUUGUACCAUUCCAUGAGUUGAAAUCCUGAGCUGAGUCAAAGGAAAGGAAGCUGAGUACCAGUACUGAAUGUGACUAGCUGCCUCUCACUCUGGCUGCUGUGAUGGAAGGCACAGCAAUCGUGGGCUCAGUGGAUCCAAUUGCACACCCGUAGCUCCAACAUGCCUCCAACACUUCCCAGCGAAGGAGCUUGAGAAGAACUACUGAGGUCGAAUCAUCUGGAGAGAAGAAUGUUUGAGAAGCUAAUGAAACAAGUGUUUAAGAAUGAUGGAGCAUCUCUGUGCAUUUCUCUCUCUCUCUCUCUCUCUCUCUCUCUCUCUCUCUCUCUCUCUCUCUCUCUCUCUCUCUCUCUCUCUCUCUUCGUGUUGAUAAGAAGACUUCUAAUUGGAUUUGAGGCCAACUCCAGAGGAGGAACCACAUGCCUGAAACUGGAAACCUGGCUAAGAGCCCAUGGUUGAGAGCUCACAGGCCCCAGGGAAUCAAAGUAAUUCAAGUUAAAAAAUAAAAGCAAAAAGCAGAGCUCUGGCUGCCAGCUUCUGUGCAGAUGGACGCAAAGACACAUAGAGAUAAAUGACACCUGGGUCCUGCUGACUCCUGAGUACUAGCGUCAGGAAGAAACCACAUGAGCAUCCAGGAUCUGUCAGACAAAUGAUCCCGAAAAGAAGUCUUGCUUUAUUUGUCGAGUUAUCUUGUUUUGGAAGGCCUCUUAUGACCUCCCCCCUCCUCUUAGGGCUUUCACUAUUUUAUGUUGUGUUUUACAAGAUGCUUUUUCCGUUUUUAUUAAUUUGUAAGAAAGAGAAAUACAGUUGUUUUUCCCAGUAAAAUUAUCUGAUCCCAUUUAUUCUAUCCUUUCCCACUGUUUUGAAAUAUACUUUUAUCUUAAUUUAUUCUUAUAUGUGUUUUCCAGUCUGUGCCACUGUUAUAUUGCACAUUAUUUAGUACGAUGGUUUUAUAGUUUGAUAACUGGUGAGAGUCAGUUAUUA